RNAcentral lists this ribosomal RNA (253 nucleotides) under uncultured bacterium. RNAcentral describes it as "partial 16S ribosomal RNA". It matches the Rfam family "Bacterial small subunit ribosomal RNA", at positions 524 to 776 of the family's 1533-position model. The record is from RNAcentral.
UACGUAGGGGGCGAGCGUUGUCCGGAUUUAUUGGGCGUAAAGAGCGUGUAGGCGGCCAGGUAGGUCCGUUGUGAAAACUCGAGGCUCAACCUCGAGACGUCGACGGAAACCAUCUGGCUAGAGUCCGGAAGAGGAGAGUGGAAUUCCUGGUGUAGCGGUGAAAUGCGCAGAUAUCAGGAAGAACACCCGUGGCUAAGGCGGCUCUCUAGUACGGUACUGACGCUGAGACGCGAAAGCGUGGGGAGCGAACAGG